CAACCUAAUUAACAAACAUUCCAAAUUCCUAAUAACACAGGUGCUAUUUAAUAAAUCCAAAUAAUUACCUGCAAAAGCGAGUAUAGGUAUCAUCCAGGAUCAUAACUGUGUCCGUAAAAAUUACUUGUCUCGUCAGCAGACCAACACUCCUCCAAAUUAGGGCACUUGCCCUCUUCACAAAAUGUGUGAAGCAUCGACCUGCCCAAUUUUUUUCUACAUUUGAUUGUAAUUAUCGCCUCUGGGAAUCGAUGCCUUCAUCCAUUUGGCCUUUGCCAGAGGCUUCUUUCGAUUAUCACCUUAGCUUCAUAAAUUCAUCAAAUUUACUUUAACACAACAGUCAUCGUGCAAUUUCAUAUGUGAGUCACCGAUUUUGUCACAUCCAGAUUUACCUUUUAUUAAUCGACUUCCCCGGUAUUCUUUAACAAAAACAUGGCUAUCUUCGAAGCGUUCAAUUGGCCACUUUUAAAUCCAAUGGUUACAUUGAAUGAAGACAAAAGGCGUUGUAAGACAGGGGUGGCUUUAAGUAUAGGUGAACAAGACAGUCGUUUAAGACCUCAUAUUUUAAUAAGGUCUCAUUUUUUGAGUAUUUUUUUAAUAAUUUUUUAAUUAAUAAAAUUUUUUAAUACGUAUUUUAAGAAAUUAAGAGUUAUUUUUGAUAAAAAAAUCUAUUUUUGGAAACCUUAAUUUGAAAGAAAUAUAAUUAAUAAUAUUAAUUAACCAUUAGUUGAUUCAUUAUUAUUAUUUCCAAAAAAUUAUUUACCUUUUUAAUUAUUCAAUAUUAGAAUCUUUGAUUUUUAGUAUUUCUUUUAAUUUCUAUUAAAAACAUUAUAAUCUCAAGAAUUAAUAAAUGAAAAAAAUUUCUUGUUCUUUUCUCUACAAAGAAAAUUAUUAUAUUCAUUGGUUCAUGUAAAAUAAUUAAUUACAAAAUAAAUAAUAUUACCAUACCAUUCUCUUGCUAUUUCACGUCUACCAACCCCUAACAGAAUUGGAAUCGCGCAUCCUGAUUCGAAUGCGUAGAGAAGUUCACACAAGUCCAAACUUCCACUCUCCCACUAUUGAACCAUUUCUAUAAAACCAAAAUUUCACAAAAUAAUUUAGUGUGAAUAAAUAAAAGCUCCUCACUCAGAAGACAGAGUGAAUUCAGCUGAACACCAAGUACAUACAUUCCAAAUACCUAAAUGAAUUUCAAAUAAAAAGCUCUUCAAAGAUGAAAAAGUAUAUAACUACAUACAAAUUUCAGCAUGCUAAAAUGAUUAAAAAAUAUAUAUAUUGUUUAUGCAAUAAUCAGAAACUAUACGAUCAACACAAUGCAGUCAAGAUUAAUUUCAAUAUCCAUAGAUAACAAAGACACUUUCAUACUAAGAAUUCAUACCCAAUUAUUCAAUAAGCAUAGUCUACUUCAAUUCUUUCAACUUCAGCACCGUACAAGCAAAAUGACAACUUCAUUGAUAAGCUUAAUCAUCUCUAUCAACACUAGUAAUCACCAGCUAAUCCAAACCCCACCACGCAAUUGCCUUAGCAACAUUCGUGGGCUCCCAAAAGGUCAGGUGGUGAAAGUGCGAACGACUUCUUCACAUUGCAAAUCCUUAUAUUUCCAAUCAAUCCAACCUAAUUAACAAACAUUCCAAAUUCCUAAUAACACAGGUGCUAUUUAAUAAAUCCAAAUAAUUACCUGCAACAAUGAGUAUAGGUAUCAUCCAGGAUCAUAACAGUGUCCGUAAAAAUUGCCUGUCUCGUCGGCAGACCAACACUCCUCCAAAUUAGGGCACUUGCCCUCUUCACAAAAUGUGUGAAGCAUCGACCUGCCCAAUUUUUUUCUACAUCUGAU
RNAcentral lists this long non-coding RNA (1828 nucleotides) under Citrus sinensis (sweet orange). Its description in RNAcentral is "long non-coding RNA (CSIN_LNC005398)". The record is from RNAcentral. Lineage: Eukaryota; Viridiplantae; Streptophyta; Magnoliopsida; Sapindales; Rutaceae.